Molecule: non-coding RNA, 115 nt
Organism: Cordylochernes scorpioides
Lineage: Eukaryota; Metazoa; Arthropoda; Arachnida; Pseudoscorpiones; Chernetidae
Source: the annotation of a GenBank genome assembly
UAGACUUUGCCAUAUUGGUAACAUCGUUUUUCAUCGAUCACCGAAGUUAAGCAAUGUAAAGCCUGGUCAGUACUUGGGAGGGUGACCACUUGGGACUUCUGUAGGUGGUAUUAUU